UACAGAGGGGGCAAGCGUUGUUCGGAAUUACUGGGCGUAAAGGGCGCGUAGGCGGCCAACUAAGUCAGACGUGAAAUCCCUCGGCUCAACCGGGGAACUGCGUCUGAUACUGAAUGGCUUGAAUCCGGGAGAGGGAUGUGGAAUUCCAGGUGUAGCGGUGAAAUGCGUAGAUAUCUGGAGGAACACCCGUGGCGAAGGCGGCAUCCUGGACCGGUAUUGACGCUGAGGCGCGAAAGCCAGGGGAGCAAACGGG
RNAcentral lists this ribosomal RNA (253 nucleotides) under uncultured bacterium. Its description in RNAcentral is "partial 16S ribosomal RNA". It matches the Rfam family "Bacterial small subunit ribosomal RNA", at positions 524 to 776 of the family's 1533-position model. The record is from RNAcentral.